CGAGCGCCGCGCUGCGGCUGAGGGUGGAGCCGGAUGGCACAAGCCGUCCACGUGGGGGGAUAUGGUGAGGCUGUUGGAUGGGUACGGCGGGUGCACGGAAUAUGAUGUGGGCGAUGUUCCGAAGGUGGUUGUGGAUACGACGGCGGCUGUUGGAUUUGAGGAGAUUGUAUCCAAUGUGGUCGAGUUCAUUGAAACGCACAGUGGUCAGCCCAUGGCAUCUGAACACGAAGGAUAAAACUUAUGAAUUGGAAUAACAAUUAGGCUAAACAAAUAAUGUGGAAAUCCAAAGUACAAAUUAUAUAGGAAACUUCUGAGAUCUGAAAAUAUUGUCAUAUAAUUAAUCAAGCUCUUUUCUCUCUCCUUUUUAUGCCGAUUUUCUUAUCAUCUCUCCUUUUAAAUUUAUGUCACAUUAUCAGAACGCUCUUAAAGCUGAGUUAAAGAGAGUUUGACCAUCUUCAAUCAAAGGAGUAUUAUGUUUCAAUCAUAAGGGUUUUUGUCAUGAAUGGUCUAACUCAUCCUUUUGGUCCCAUAAUUUCCAAAUCGAUAAAUUUGGUCCCUGAAAUGUAGUGCCGCACAUCAACGUGCUCCUUCCGUCAAUAAUUCGUCAAAUUCUUCAUUAAAACUACACGUGACGACUCUUGUGGCCUUUUGGUGGAGGGCUUUACCUUUCCCCCAAUACUGUUUUCCUCUCUAGUUAGAGAGAUUUUAAAAAGCUAGGGUUUGGCAAAUUGGGGAUUUUGGCAAGAGAUAAUCAAUUCUCCUUAGAUUAGGACUCUCAAAUUUAGAAAUUUGUGGGGAAUCAUUGAACUUUGGUGGAUUGUGAGUAAAUUUUGUUGAAUUGUGAGCAUGUCUUAGAAAUUCCGCAAAUCUGGAAAACCUCCAAAAUAUGGUGAGUAUUAUUUAUCUUCUUUCCAUGAUUUAUUUAUACUUUUGAUGGUCCCAAUAGUCCUUAAUAUUUUUUAUAUGUGGUGGUGGGGUUUGUGUAGUUUGAGAUGGUGUGGGGUUAGUGUUGGUGGUGAAUAUGUUUAUAUAUGUGGUCUUGUUUCCUUUCUUUUGUCAUUUUGCAUUAAAGAUUGCAUAGUUUUAUUGAUAUGGAGUUUGGUUGUUGUGUAUUUUUAUUGUUUUAGUUUUCAUUGUAUGGCAUAGAUUUAGGGUUUUGACUGUAAAAUGUGGCAAAAGUAAUUGACUUAGAUUUAGAGAAUAAAAAACUAAUUGACGAUUUGCUUUACUAAUGUAUUAAUCAAUCUGUUGCAGCUAAUACUGAUAAAUUCACAUAUAACAAUUAUCACGAAGGUCAGGUUCUUAAGAAGGGAAAUAAGGAACACUACAUUAGAGGUGGUUAUAUUCUUAGAUUGGGUUCUUGGUGACUUCCAAUCCUUGGUAAAGUGUCACGAUAUAGCAAAGAAACUGGUAUAAGGUGAAGUUGAGCCACCAUAAAAUGUUGCAUGUGGGUACGUUUGAAGAAAUAGCAUGUGAUGCACAAGUGACAGAUUUAAUCGAGGACAUGCCAAAUGAUAAGGUAGUUGAAUUAUAUGUGAUUGACAAGAAUGUGAAGGCAAUUAGUAAAAGUGACAAGGGUGCUGCUUCAAGUAAUGGAGAUAAAGGCAACAAAUUACAAAGUGAAAGUGACAAGAGUCAAGCUUCAACAAAUGCGGAGAAGGCAAACAAAAUGGUACCUGCAAAUGUGUUAAUUGAUGUAGGUGUGGUGCAAGAGUUUGAGAUAACAUAAUCUUUAAGUUAGGAUGACAGAUUUCAUGAAUUUUGGCAAGAUGGGGAAUUCACAAUAGAAAAUCAAGGAGAAAAAGAAGAUUCUGCAACAAAAACUUAGGGAAAAAAUAGGGAUGAUGAAGAUGUUGAGGGAGAUGAAAGUGAACAACCUAAAAUGUGGAGGAAAUAAUCAAAAUAGUGAUUAUGACCAGGAUUCAGAUCAGGAAAUUGAACAUGCACACGAGAAUGUGUUAGAAGAUGAUUUGUUUGAAAAACAGGUAGACAACCCAAUUGAUUUUCCUUAUUAACACUAAGAUUUGUCAAUUGUAGCAUAUGAAAAUAAAGGUCUUUCCCGCAGAAGAUUGUUUUAUCUAACUACUUAAAAUGUCACAAAAACUGGUUGUUGUCCCUACUGACCAGCCAUUGAAAAAUAAUUAUUAGACUGACUUACACUAAUCUAAAGUCUACGAAAUUUUAUAAGCAAACACUAGACACACAGAGCUACACUUCUACAAAUAUUUGGGAUUUUUGGAUUAGAUUUGAUAUUUAAAUUAAAUCAAACAAAAACAGGACAGAAACAAAUUUUAAAUAGUUCAUAAAUUAAGAAAAACGAGUUAGGGGAAUUGCUAUCCACCACCAAAUAAUCAUGCAAACAUGUUAUGUUUCAUUCAAAUUCCUUUUAUUUCCGGAUGAAGAUGCUCAAGUUGGCUCAAUGUUAGAACUCAACCUAUUACUUUGUAUUACGUAGUAUGUUAAGAGAAUGGCGUUUUCAACUUAACUUAGUCCCUAGCAUGCAAUUUAGAAUGGCGUGUUUAUAGAUUUAACAAGUAUGAAUCAUUAAGAACGAAAAGAGUUUGAGUCAUCACAAGGCAUCGUUAGUACUGGGGUUGUCUUACUUAUCCGAGAAAUUGGUUCACAUGUUAAUCGCAAUUAACAAGUACUACUCUAGAACAUAUGUAGGUCCUCAUUCUAUAAGGGCAGGCACACACAUAUUCAUAGCAUUAGAAUCCUAGAUAUGUUUACUACGUAUGCAUCCAUAGAAAACAAAUAAAGAAUUCAUCAAUGAGACAAGUAGUGAACCAAUUUUCAUCCAUUCAUAAAAGUAAUUCAAACGAAAUGUCAUAACAAACUUGCAAUCAUAUUCGGGGCUUCAAAACAGCCCAUAACUACUAAAAAAUUAGUUACACACAAUCCUUAAAUAAAAACAAAAGAUAGACAUGAGUUUGAGAAGAUAGAACCGAAAGAAAUCGACUAAGGCCUCCUCCUCUCUUCCUUCCUUCCCCAAUGCUGCUUUUAAACCAAUUCUUGUUGCAUCAUUUUCUUCUCCUUAACUCACCCACUAAUAGCCAUUUAGUGAUGACAAUAAGUGAGAGGAAAUGUGGUAAAACAAUUGUAACACUUUAGGUAGCCUUUAUGCCAAUUACUCCCUCUUAAUCCUCAUUUUUAUUUCCAUUUCCUCUGAUAUUUGAAUAGGUGUCAGCUGACUUGUUCUUGGCUGCAUCAGUUUUGGCUGCUAGAUUUAUUGGGUUUAUUGCUUUCAUUGCAGUUACAAACUGCCCAGUCUCUUGUGAACCUUUCAGUGUUAAAACGGCCAUAACUUCUUCUACGAAAAUGAUAUUAACAAUCCGCGAAAUGCUCCAGACAAUAGACAUCCGUAGCUUUCCAAGCAUAUAAGGAUCAUUCUCUAAUUCAUUUUGAGCUGUUCGCAACUUGCUUCCAAAGUCAGCUGAUUUGCACAGGCAGUUUUGACGAAUUUGUUACUAAAAAUCCUACUUGUGCUAUUUUUCUUUUAUUUGCUUGACAAAUCCCACAAAACACAAAAACAAAGUAAAUAGCUCAAAAAUAUAAGGAACUAACUAAGAAAAGAGAAGUGAAUUUGAUGUAAAAUAUAUAUAAAUAUGAGCUUAUUAGUUUGCUGGGGAAAUUUCAGAUAAUGAAGCCAUUUCUUGGACCUUUCUUGGACCUUUAUAGCUUGGAAGCCCACACUUAUGAGGAAGAAGAUGGUGCUGAGGUGUCUAGCAAAAAGAAGAGGAAGAAACCUAUGCCUAAGGUUAAAUAAUGGCAUACAACUACAUAUUUGAAGAAUCCUGAUAUUUGCAUGGGUAUGUUGUUUUCUAAUAAACAACAGUUCAAGAAGGCAAUAGUAUACUAUACUAUGAAGAAUGAGCGAAAAGUUGCAUCUGUUCAAGGAGGCAAUAAUACCUUGUCCAACAUGCUCACUGAUCUUUAUAGGCAAACUAUUUAGCCCAGAUACUAAGAUCAUUAAUAGGCAAGUUAAUUAAUCGCCUACGAUCCUUACAGAUCCUCCAUUUUGUUCACAGCAGAUUCAAGGGAAUAUUUGCGAACUAAUCCAACCAAAAUACGAACCAUUUAAUUAUCUUCUAGUUUGGGUUGACGUAUCGACACAUUGGUUAUAUGUUUGUCCACACCCAAUGCUGCUUUGCUAGACUCUUGGCACCAAUUAUUUGGUUGCAGGCUCACCACCCCUACUAUCAUAAAGUCCAGAAGACUGACAUUACAAUUGAUAACUAGGUACAAGCAUAAAGUUUUGUACUUAUGGGUUUUGGGUGUACAUUUAUGUGUCAAAUGCGCCAUAUCAAUGUACCAAUACAAGUCCUUACAAAAGGUGAGUCAAUGUCAAUUAUGAUUCCCCUAAGCCCUUGCAAGCAAUCUUUUUACCUCUCAGUUAGCGGAUAGUCAUUUCAAUGAGACAGUCUUCCCGUCGUUAGGAAGAGAUAAGAACGUAAACUUUCUUGAAGAACAAAGCGAAUUAUCGUGGACAUCCCCACUGUGUCUCAUCCCAAUCCCUAUUCUAGAUUUACAUAAUGCUACUAGACGUUUUCUCUGAUCUAGUGAUAGUGACAAGAUCACAUAUACCAAUAGGAAACAUGCUUGCAAUGAUGAAUUUCUUUAACAAAUGUCUUUUUGUUCCCCAGAAUGGAGGACGUCCGUACGUCUUUUUGUUCCCUAGAAGAGAGGACGUCACGAUGCUACUAAGUGUGUGAGGAGAUUCCUAGCACCUAUUGGUCAAUCCUAGUACAUUGGCAGCUAGCCAAUCAAUCUGUCAUCCGGUGGAAGUGCAACAAAUCACUCGGUUCAAAUAAUUCACCUACUUAGAAGUAGAGGAACAUGGCACAAAAAAACUCAUUCCUCAAUCGUUGUAUUAAUCAUUUCCAUCUCAUGAGAUUAAUCUAGAUUACUCCCGAGACUUGAAGUUCUUGGUUCAAUAUACUAGUUUGGUGAGAUAUGGAAUUGAAAUAAGAUUAUCAUCGGUGAUGUUUCACUUAUAUUGUAUCUACCGACAUAAACGAAAAUCAACGAUAUCGAACCGCUUUUCGUUGAUUAGUGACAACGUGGAACUGAUUGGUCAACUAGAAAUAAACAAUCCAUGUCGAAUAAGAGGAUUGAAAUAGUGCGAUAUAAUGUCGCCUUAUGGCACAAGACUUAUCUCAUAUGCCUUGAAUUGAUUGCAGCACUAUAAAUGUGGUUAUAACAUAUCUCUAGGAUCCUGAUACGAAAUCCACAUAUACGAUUCUAGAAGAAUUACAUAUACUGGUUCAAAUAGUUAUAGGCCCCAAGACACCUUCUCAAUUUAGAUGAGGCUUUCACUUUAUGGAUGCAAAACAAUAUAGUCGAAUGUGGUAUACCCGUUUAAGUAAAUGUUGAUCAGUUAGGGAGAUAUGCCCCUGCGUGUACAAAAUUAAAAAUUGCUAGAGUUGUAGUUUAUGUCGAUGACAUACUAUCUCGCACCUGAAGUUGGAAUUUGAGAUAAAAGAUCUUGGAAAAAUUCGACACUAUCUCGGCUUGAAGUCCAACUACACCAAAUGGUGUUGCUAAGUAUACCCCUGAUUGUCCAUACGUUACAUGCAAAUGAGACCUUGGAGAUUCCAUAUAUAAGUGUAAUUAGCGUUUAUUGUACUUAACUUAGAGCAUUAGAUUAGACAUCUCAAGUGUUGAUAAUCUUUUGAUAAAAAGGUAGCACUACGCCUUCAUGCCACCACCAAAUUGGUGUUAAAAGACCUUUUUUAGCUAUCCUAAAAAUACUACGGAAUUGCGCUUAUCCCUACGCAUCCUGAGCAUAAUCAACCCCUUUGAUCAUCAGAAUGAUACUUGCCUUACUUUUUAUGUUAACGUUGGUUGUUUAUCAAACUCGCACAAGGCACAUUCCCAAAUGGUCAUGUAUUUACCGUUAAGGAACACGUCAAUAUCUUGGAGAUAAACCAAAUAGACCUUAGUUGUGAUGUCUUCAAGCUUGCACCAUAUACCACGCAACAUGAAUAGAGGAACAUCUUCGAAGCACCUGCAAUUUUCAUCCUUGGUUGAGUCCCAUUCAAGAACUAAGAAGUCAACACCAAACUUAUUGUGUCUACAUCAGUAUGAGCAUCAGAAGAUUGAAGUCAAGCAAUCCGAUCCCGGACAACCUUGUCGAUUUCUACAUGAAGUCGCUACCAAAGCUUACUUUCCAGAAGCUUGUCUGAGUAAUUGUAUGUGUAACUAUCUCAUUAGUAAUGCUUGUAGUUCUCAUUUGGAAGUUUUGUCAAACUCAAGGGAGUAUCCAGAAGUAUACUCACUUGAUCUUAAUGUACUCUUUUCCCCUACGAUUAGGAGUAUUUUUCCCACUGAGUUUUUGCUACAUGACUAGGUUUUGACAAGACACCCGUCUUGGAUUGGUCAUACCAUUGGGAGCGCUCUACUUGUAUCCACAAGAUGUAUAGUUUUGAUUUAAUGCAACUUCUCACUUUUCUCUUCAGACUAUGAGUGUUUAUCCCAUCUUGGGUUUUACCAUAGCAAGGUUUUGUGAGUAUUACUACCUAUGCAUUCUUCCAUUUGUUUUGAUACUCGCAUUCACUACUUGUGCCAACUAGACGAGACAAUUUCAUAUGUUUCUACAUUUACCUAAGGAUCUUAUGCUAUAUCUACUUGAGUAUUUGCACACUCAAUGGGGAGUAUUGUGAAUAUAUAUCAAGCACAUGUGUGGUUGUGUAAAUCAUUAGUCGAUUGUAUUUAGGAUAGUAGAAGAUUAUUCCCUUUCUGGGUAUAUUACUUCAAGGCAAGAAAUCCUCAUUGGUUUACUAUAUAUAUGGGCACAAGGUCUGAGGAAUAACACACAUAAUUCUUCAAGCCGAUUCUCCAUCUCUCUUUCUAUCUAUGACACACCCUCUAUUUUUCUCAAACAAAAAUAGGUCAUGGUAUUCAAUAUUUCAUGAUUGUUAACCAAACAUAAGAAUAAAAUAAUAGCCGCCUCAUAAAUGAUUAAUUUAUAUAUAUAAUUCUAUUCUGAUUUAUUCAAUCGCUAAUAAAAUUACGAAGAGUAUUGGAGAAAAAUAAAAGAAAGUGAAAAUGUUUCAAGUAAAAUAAGGCCAAUGUCAUCCCAAACCAAUGUCACAACAUAAGAGUAUCCUCAGUGAGGGGUUGUAUAUGGGGCUGGAAAAGUGGUGGAUAUAGAUCAUUUUAGAGCUCUGAGGAAUCUUUGGGGCUUUAUAAAAGAAUCUCUCCUAACGAGGGGCUAUUUCUUUCGGGCUUUGUAUAGGGCUAUAUAUAUUUAUUUAUGUCGAUAACUUUUUUUUUUGUGGUAACUUUUCUUAUGUUGAAUUUUGGACGUGAUAUCUUUUUCUUUUCUUUUUUUAAAUUUUUUUUUUGUGAACCUUUCAACCUAAAGAAGUUCAAAUUGUGACAAAGUUAGAUUUCAUCACUUAUGGACCGUUUGUUGGAUUAGAUUCUCUUAUCUUAAUCUCAUUCAUUGAAAUAUUCAAACCCUCACUUCGCCUUAUAAAAUAAUUUGAUUUUCAGGUACAUCACAACAAUUUACCUAGCACCAAUUGGUAAAUUAAUAUAAUACAAUUUUGAAAAAAAAAUUAUUUGAAAAUUUCACCCACCAAUGCCUAUGAACGUUAAAUUAAUUUAAAAUUUUAAUUCUUAUGGAAUUUAAAACAAUCAUUAAUUAGCCAAAUUGCAAGAAAAUAUGUAAGGAAAAGAAUUAUAAAAAAAAAGAAUAAAAGGAGAAUAUAAGUGUAUCCGAGAGAGUGAUAUAAUUUUAAUUACAUGGGUUGUCACCUUUUUUGUGAUGAUUGGAGUCACUAAAUAGAGAUGCUCUAAGAAAGUAGUACGUAAUAUCUAUUUUUAACCAAAAAUGAUUGUAGCCGCCUUGCCGGUAAUGAUGAUGGUCAUGUGUUCCCACGAUGGUCAUGUGUUCCCACGUCUGGGGAACUCAGUCCACCGAUCUGGGUCUGCCUCCCUCCCUUCUUGCGUUACACCCCACAAACCCAAAGAAAAAAGGAGGGAAAAUUCUUAAUCUCUUGAUUAAUCACUAUUUUAUUCUUAAUAUAGUCUGAACAUAUUAAUCUUAAUUAUUGAUGUAAAAUAUAUGGUGCUGAGUAUGCAGAAAAUGUGUUUACAUUAAAUUCUGUUGUUAACAAUACCCAUUGUGUUGAAUGUUUGUCUUGUUACUUCCAGUCAACCGUUUGCUCUGACCGGUUGCCUUCACAGUUCACAGCCACUUCCUUGUUUGCUUUCAGAGAGAGAGGGAGACAGGGAGGGACAGAGAGAGAAAGAGAGGAGAGAGAUAGAGAGAGACAAAGAGAGAGAGAGAGAGAGAGAGAGAGAGAGUGGGGCUUUUAUGCCCUAUUCCUUCAAAAUCUCAUUGAAUUUCAGGGCAUCAUCUUGAAAGCCCGAAGCUUUUUUUGGUCAAGUCUGAGGUCUUUCAAGCUCUUUGUCAAAAGGGUGUCCUUGUUUGCAAUCUUAAUCCAUUUUUCUCUGAAAUUUUCUCAAAAUUUUUCGGGGUUUUGAAUUUUUUACUCAUAUUUUUGUUCACUAUUGAAAGUUAGACGCUUUAGAUUUGAUGGGUUAUGAAGCUCAAGCCCAUAUUUCUCUGCCUGGAUAUGGAGGAUUCAUUGUCUCCAACUGGGUGCCUAGCUUUCUGUAUAAUUAAAAAUUAAUCCUUUUGCUUAUUAUUAUUUUUUUUUUUGGAUUUUGAUCAAUGUUUCCGCAACUGGGUAAUUCCUGGAAUUAAGUUUGGACUUUUUGAGAAAUUGGGUAAUUUUGGUUCAGAAUAUUUCUCGCUUUUGAUAGUUCUGAGCAAUUUUACUGUGUUUGGAGAAAUCGGGUACUUUUUGAUAUGAUUUCUCCGUAGGAUUGUGCAGUUUGCGCAGGAGAAUCAACCCGAUUUCGGGUUCUCUUAAUAGGGUGGUUUUGGGGGUUGUUGGAUCAUUUAUUCAUAGCAUUUGUUAAGCUUAGACAGAACUGCAUAGAUUUUGGAAGCCAUGGAUAACGUCAAUGAACUGUCAUCAUCCCUGAGCUUUUCCUCCUCCUCCUCCUAUCUGUCAAAUGGGUCCAGUAGUAACCAUGUAUCUGCCUCUGCCUCGGCCAGUUCUCAAAGUAUUGAACAUUAUUUGAGUCUAAGCAAACUGAGUGAUAAUCUUGAGAGACUGUUACUUGAUCAUGAGUAUGACUAUAGUGAUGCUGAGAUUGUUGUUGAGAGAAACACCGUGGGUGUCAAUCGGUGUAUAUUGGCUUCCCGGAGUCAGUUUUUUCAGUACCUUUUUAGGAAGGGGAGUGAUGAUGCGAAGACGGAAGGUAAACCGAGGUAUCUCAUGUCUGAAUUGGUUCCAAACGGCAGGGUUGGCCACGAAGCCUUCAAGGUUUUCUUGAGCUAUUUGUACACUGGGAAGCUUAAUCCAUCUUCUGGAGAAGUAUCCACGUGUGUUGAUGAUCGUUGUCCGCAUGAUGCGUGCGGCCCUGCUAUCAGUUACGCUGUGGAAUUGAUGUAUGCUUCUUCCACUUUCCAGAUGAAGGAGCUUGUUCAGCUUGUUCAGGUUUGUUCAAACUUUGACUUCUUGUGUUGCUCUUUUGCGAAUGAUUGUGUGCCGUGCAGGGUAAUUGUUUGUGUUCUCUCUUUGUCGACUUGCAAUUUGUUGCAGACUCUUUAUACUUACAGCCUGAAAACUUUGCAGACUCUUUAUAAUUGAUCAAGGCCCGGUCGAAACCUAGAAAAUCAGAAAAGGGCAUUUUCUAACUUGAUACAGUUUAUGAAGACCACUUGCUUGCCUACCCAAGGGUCAAGUGGUAUAGACUGACCAGCUACACAGCCCAUAAAGUACUUUAUGGUGGCAUUACAUGUAAAAUAGCUGAUGAGUCAUCACCCUCAAACCGCAUUCGGGCAAGGCUGCUGCUACAAGAGGCCAAACCGAGUUGACUAUAAAAGGAGAAAGAGAAGCCAUGAAUAAUGACACUCAAUCAAACAAACAAAUGCAAGCACAAACUCUUCUCAAAGCCAGAUUUGCCUUCAAAACGAAGCUGUAGUCAGCCCAAGCCUUCAUCCCUCUCGGGACAAGCUUUUAUCCCUCGCGGGAUAACCUUUCCUUCAAACCUUUGUAAUAGCUCUGCUACCCUGCCCAAACUUGGUGUAGUAUCGAUUCACUUUUUGUAUCUCUCUCUCUCCCUCUCUUUCUCUAAGCUUUCAGACCUUUGACAAAACUACAAAGAUAGGGACCUGCAAGACGAUCAGCCUUAACUGAUAAGGUUUAACCUUGCCCGACCUUCUUUGUUUUGUUUUUGUCUUUUCAUUCUUUAAAGCCUAGUAAUAUGUUGUAUACUUCCAAUUAUAUGCAAGUUAUUUCUAGCGAGGACUAUUAAAACGCUUUCUCAGUAUUUGGAUCCGAUUUGAAUAUAUCUUCAGUGUUCAAACUAGAUCCAAAGUCCUAAGCCCUCGGGCGUGUAAAUCUGAUCAAUUAAAAGUCCUUGGUCUCAAGGCAUAAAAAAGAACUUUAUGUGGACUUAACCCAUCCAUGACAGUCCUUGAUAAACGAGAAGUCCGAAGUUACUUGGGGCGCAAGUAAUCGACCUACCUCUUUGUUUUGUUUCUAUUAUAUUAUGAUUAUCGUAGAACACUUAAGCAUGGAAUGAAUUCUGAUGGGAAGCCUCAAGGCCUACACCUAAGGCCCCACGAAGGCACCUAUUUGGAUUCAUUCCGUCUUGCGAUCUAGAAUGUUUGAGUAUUAGAACGAACUCCAAUGGGAAGCCUCAAGGCCUACACCUAAGGCCCCACAAAGGCACUUAUUUGGGUUCGUCCUACCUCUCAAACUCGGGUAAUCAGAAGUAUAAUAGUUAUAAGACUCCUGCAAUCACGAGACCAAAUAUGAUGUGUUCGAGCACUGGUUUAGUUUGAUAGGAAGCCUCAAGGCCUAUACCUAAGGCCCCACAAAGGCACCUGUCACAUCUAACACGGCUUCUCGGGUAUAUACAUAUUUACAACGAAAACGCGACAUGCAUUCUACAUCUGCCAUACUACAGAUGGCAGUGGCACGCCUGAGCACCUCAAAGUUAAUCUUGAUUGUGAGUCUCAAGGCCUACAACUAAGGCCCCACAAAGGCACCUUUCAAAUUAACUAUGUCAUUCUCUUUCAGCCUUGCCCGACGAGCCUUGCCCGACGAGACUUGCCCGAUAAAGACUUGCCCGACCAAGCCCGAUAGUGAAAUAGAAGCCCGACAGCAGCCCUCAACCGGCGACAACCUCCCGGGGAGCUGUGUGCUCGUCGGCCAGGAACCAUCCCCGACGGAAAUUCCUGACACGAACAAGAGUAAUAUAAUUUUGAUCACAUGAGUUGUUACUUUUUUGUGAUGAUUGGAGUUCCUAAACAGAAAUGCUCUAAGAAAGUAGUACGUAAUAUCAAUGGUUGCUAUUUUCAACCAAAAAUGAUUGUAGCCGCCUUGCCUUGCCGGUAAUGAUGAUGGUCAUGUGUUCCCACGUCUGGGGAACUCAGUCAACCGAUCUGGGUCUGCCUCCCUCCCUUCUUGCGUUACACCCCACAAACCCAAAGAAAAAAGGAGGGAAAAUUCUUAAUCUCUUGAUUAAUCACUAUUUUAUUCUUAAUAUAGUCUGAUAACAUAUUAAUCUUAAUUAUUGAUGUAAAAUAUAUGGCGCUGAGUAUGCAGACAAUGUGUUUACAUUAAAUUCUGUUGUUAAAAAUACCCAUUUUGUUGAAUGUUUAUCUUGUUACUUCCAGUCAACCGUUUGGUCUGACCAGUUGCCUUCACAGUUCUCAGCAACUUCCUUGUUUGCUUUCAGAGAGAGAGAGAGAGAGAGGGAGACAGGGUGGGUGUUAAGAACCUGCUCAACCUGUACAAUGUAGCAAGGAAGAUAUGGAGUGGAAGAGGUAGAAGACGAGCACGAAACUCGUGUGAAUUUCAAUUAAUAAUACUCAAAUAUUAGUCUGAGGAGCAAUGAGGCCAUUGCUCCAUUUAAGUAGCCUUUCCACUCAGAAAUGCCAACUCAGCAUUCCAUUACAUAACCACUCACUAAAGGACAAACCCUUUUAUUUACUAAACUGAAAUUACAACAAAAGGAAUAAAAUGCAUUUCCUAACAUCACUCCCUCCUUAAAAUCAACCUUGUCCACAAGGUUUCAGAGCUGAAAUGUUGGGAAUCUGGCAUGAAAAUCAUCAUAAUCCUCCCAAGUAGCUGUGCUCUCUUCUUGUCCAACCCACUGUACUAGCAACUGAACACCUGCCUUGUCUUCCUUCUUGUAAAUUCUCCUGGCAAUAUUGCCAAAGGAGCAUCUGAUGGAUGAGAGUCUCGCAUCUGAGCUUCAUCUGUCAGUGUUGGCAGAGCUGUUAUGGUUGAAUCCACAUUUCCCAUGUGCCUCUUGAGGCAGCUGACAUGAAAAACAGGAUGGAUUUUUGUUCCCUCAGGUAGUUUGAGUUUGUAAGCAACAGGUCCUACUCUCUCCAAUACCUCAUAAGGACCGUAGUAUCGAGGGUGUAGCUUGUGAUAAGCAUGUGAAGCCAAUGUUUGCAACUGAUAUGGCAGUAGCUUGAGAUAGACUAAGUCACCAACAAAAAA
This 12542-nucleotide long non-coding RNA is filed under the name Malus domestica (apple). Its description in RNAcentral is "long non-coding RNA (MDOM_LNC017364)". The record is from RNAcentral. Lineage: Eukaryota; Viridiplantae; Streptophyta; Magnoliopsida; Rosales; Rosaceae.